GGAGGAAAGGAGAGGACAGGUGGUUUCUUUCCACUGUUGAUGCCUUGUAGAUGCCUUGUUGACGUUUAUCUCCUAGUCGUAUCUUGUUGGAUAUGCUGUUACAGUCCUUGGAUGCUCAAAGUUGUCCAUGCUGUUUUGCUUUGUGAUAUAUGAAUAUUAAUAUGUUAGCGUCCUCGGCCCUGUUGGGCGCAACGGCCGAGUCGCAGCAUUUUCUUAUGAGUGCAUGCAUAUCCGCCAAUGGGAGACGUGUCAACAGGCUGUUGGACGAUAUUUCUUCGGAUAUGAUGGAAAUAAAAUGAUAUCCAAUUCAAUGCUCGCUGGAUAUCUGGGGAGUGCUUUCUUUAUCUAAUUGGAUUGACAACUUCAAAGGCAGCGUGGGCCCGAGAUAUCCGACAAUUCCUGGGAUGGUAGCAGAUGCCUCCCCGGCUUGUAAUGCCGAGGUCCAGCGUCCAGAUUUUGGCAGGGCCUCUGUGGUCAACCAACCUCGGCGACCGCACCGCACGAGUGGCAGGUCCUGUCGUUAAGACCUGGAGUCGGGCAUGCUUUCCCUUGGGACCUCCGUAUCCGCUCAAAGCAAGGCAUGAAGUCCCUUUUUUUUUUCCUCCAAAUUAUUUAUAAAUUCUUUAAUAUUUUUGGAAGUGAAAAAUUAUUUAUUUAUGCAGAUAGAGCAAGGGCAAAAGCACAAAAUGGCGAAGUUUUUAUGUAAAUGCUAUUCCAUGACAUCAAUCUUCUAGUGGUAUUUGUAGAUAAACAAAAAUAGAAAACAAAAAUGAUGCUAAACAGGUCUAUAUAUUGGAUGUGGGUCAUAUCUUUCAUAUGAAAAAAAAUGAUGCAUCUUUGUUUCACAAUCUGCAUUAUUGGAUCGCAAAAUAGCUACUAUGAGAUUUGUACAGACA
This 896-nucleotide long non-coding RNA is filed under the name Elaeis guineensis (African oil palm). RNAcentral describes it as "long non-coding RNA (EGUI_LNC022387)". The record is from RNAcentral. Lineage: Eukaryota; Viridiplantae; Streptophyta; Magnoliopsida; Arecales; Arecaceae.